This 492-nucleotide ribosomal RNA is filed under the name uncultured bacterium. Its description in RNAcentral is "partial 16S ribosomal RNA". It matches the Rfam family "Bacterial small subunit ribosomal RNA", at positions 30 to 507 of the family's 1533-position model. The record is from RNAcentral.
AGCGAACGCUGGCGGUAGGCCUAACACAUGCAAGUCGAACGGCAGCACAGUAAGAGCUUGCUCUUACGGGUGGCGAGUGGCGGACGGGUGAGGUAUACAUCGGAAUCUACUUUUUCGUGUGGGAUAACGUCGGGAAACUUACGCUAAGACAGCAUAUGACCUACGGGGAAAGGCAGGGGACCUUCGGACCUUGCGCGAUUGAAAGAGCCGAUGUCGGAUGAGCUAGGUGGCGGGGUAAAGGCACACCAAGGCGACGAUGCGUAGCUGGCAUGAGCGGAUGAUCCGCCAGCUUGGAACUGAGAAACGGCCCAGACACCGGCGGGAGGCAGCAGUGGGGAAUCUUGCGCAAUGGGGGAAAGGCGGAUCUAGCGAAACCGGGGGAGUGAAGAAGGAGUUCGGGUUGUAAAGCCAUGAUGUUCGGAAAGAAAAGAAGUUCUUUCACCGCGGGCUGUACUGACGGUACCCAAAGAAGAAGCCCCGGCUAACUUCGUG